This 1449-nucleotide ribosomal RNA is filed under the name Triticum aestivum (bread wheat). RNAcentral's name for it is "partial small subunit ribosomal RNA". The record is from RNAcentral. Lineage: Eukaryota; Viridiplantae; Streptophyta; Magnoliopsida; Poales; Poaceae.
AUGGUGCAGCCCCGGGGUAGGCCGCGGAGGAAGAGGCAUGCAAGCCACACGGCGGCGGCCGUCGCCCCCAGUGCGUCGCCGGCGGGCAACUUGGAGGAGGAGGGGUUAUUAGGCGACGGGAAUGAGGCCACCCAGAAGCGCGUUAGGACGGCGCAGCCAUCUCAGCUUCCGCUUCCACUGCAGGACAUGUUCAAUAUAAUUAAUGAACCGCUCCCACUGGGUCUACGGCUGAAAAAGAGCCCAUCUUUUGUAGAUCUUAUUUGUACGUGUCUUUCAAAGAAAAACUCUACCAAGGAAAACUCUACCGAGGAAAUCUCUACCAAGGAAAUAUCUACCAAGGGCCGUUCUGCUAUGAAAGAUAUUGUUUCCAAGCCCCCGUUAAAGAAAGAUGUAGUAAAAGCUUCAAAUUUUCCUGCAAACUUUCUUAAGAUUGGUAAUUGGGAGUACACAUCGCAGUAUGAAGGUGAUUUGGUUGCAAAAUGCUACUAUGCAAAGCAUAAGCUUGUCUGGGAAGUUUUGAACAAUGGUCUUAAGAGUAAGAUAGAGGUCCAGUGGUUAGAUAUUACUGCUCUAAAGGCAACUUGCCCUGAGGAGGGAGAUGGCACCUUGGAACUGAUGUUGUCUCGGCCACCCAUGUUCUUUCAAGAGACCCAUCCUCAACCAAGAAAACAUACAUUAUGGCUGGCGGCACCAGAUUUCACUUGUGGGCAAGCAAUCAUGUGCAGGAGGCAUGUUUUGCGUUGCUCCUCGAGUGUGUUGAGCAGAAAUUUUGAAAAGCUUAUUCAGUGUGACGAGCGACUAAAUGAGCUGAGCCGACAACCAAUCAUCAUGUCAGAUUCUCCAUUUAUUGGAUCCAUAAGCUCUAUAUUUGGAAACCCAAAUGAAAGUGCCGGCCCUUCAUCCAUGUUCGCACAUCAUGUGUCACCAUAUGAUGCUUCUUCAGUGGUCCAAAGGGAUGGGGUGAAGCAUCAUCAGCCAUUGAACAUAGGUGCCACUGCUUCAGAUGUCCAAGCAAAAAUUGUUGUUCAAGAACAAAGGAACCUCAAUUUGUGCAAUCAUGCCAGCCCUGAGGUGCCGAAAGAAUUUCAGGAGAUUGCUGAGAGCCUCUUAAGCGAUACACAUGCCCUGCCAUCCGCGGAUGAGAAAUAUCUGCUGGCAAGAGUGGACUCGUUUAGCAAUCUUAUUGAGAAAGGCGCUGCGCCAUCCACCGUAUCUGUCCCUGAGCGCAAUGACACCAUUGCUGCAGGCGAAGUAGGUUAUGAUGCCUUUGCCGAGGAACUCGGAUUUUGUUUCGAAGACGAAGAACAAUGGGCGCCUGCGGGGAGAACUGUGGAUGGCGGCGCAGGACCGCCUGCUAUCUCUAGAAAGGAGUCCGUGCCGGGUCUGUUUGAGAACCUCUAUCGCCGCAUACCGUCUAUGUCAGAGUUGUUCGACAUAGCAGAGGAUUGA